RNAcentral lists this long non-coding RNA (580 nucleotides) under Monodelphis domestica (gray short-tailed opossum). RNAcentral's name for it is "lncRNA (ENSMODG00000039710.1)". Lineage: Eukaryota; Metazoa; Chordata; Mammalia; Didelphimorphia; Didelphidae. The record is from RNAcentral.
UUUCAGUUACAAACAGAAACUAUUUUUGACAACUGUUUUAUGACAUUUUCUGUUCUACCCAAUACUUGACAAAGAGGUGAUGGCUUCAGGGUAAAAAAAAAAAGGAGUUACUGAAAUUCCUUGAGCAAGAGAGUGAAAAAUAAUUCCUGAAUUCUUCCUCUAUGCAAGAUACUAUAUAAGAUGCAAAAACUGAAUAAUAUCCCUGCCCUCAUGGAUCAUCCAAUCUAGCUGGAAAUACAGAACACUUUCACCUUGGACUCAAGAGAUGUAGUCUUUAUGAAAUACUGUGCUUAGCUUCUAAAGAGGUUACUCAUUUACAAAAUGGAAAUAAAAGUAAUUGCACAACCUUUCUCACAGUUGUGCUAGAAGAAAAAGAUCCUAUAAACCAUAAACUAACCAGAUGGGCAAGAACGGAUGCUGUGGUAUUGCUAAUGUUGGAAGAAAUAUCCACAUUGAUGAGAUCUCAAGCACAUUGUUGUGAUGGAGGAAUAAUGCCUUUCCAUAUUUCAUAUUGAAUAUAAUUUCAAAUAAUUAAUCCUUCUUUUGUCUCAUACCUCACCUCCAAACUUAUCAUAAUAAA